Small nuclear RNA from Ailuropoda melanoleuca (giant panda), 107 nucleotides. Lineage: Eukaryota; Metazoa; Chordata; Mammalia; Carnivora; Ursidae. The record is from Ensembl.
GCGCUCACAUCGGUAGCACAUAUACUAAAAUUGGAAUGGUACGGAGAAGAUUGGCAUGGCCCCCACGCAAGGAUGACAUGCAAAUUCAUGAAGUGUUCCACAAAAAA